This is a long non-coding RNA of Camelus dromedarius (Arabian camel), 1639 nucleotides long. RefSeq lists it as uncharacterized. The transcript has 3 exons. Lineage: Eukaryota; Metazoa; Chordata; Mammalia; Artiodactyla; Camelidae. The record is from RefSeq and is a predicted model, not a curated record.
CUUAAAUUGCAAAGUAAAAUGAGAAAAAGACAAAAGGCUUCUUGUAGCCUGAGAUCAGAAGGGGUUGAACAGGAGAACUCUUGAGGCUGAGAGCAGCGAGCACAGAGAAGGUAGAGAUGGGCCAGGACAGCUGAAGAGGCGGAGUGCCUGUGCCCGUGGGCACUGCAGCCCAGGACCAUGGCCAGACAGAUGUUACCCCCUCCCUUCCAGGUACCUGCUUUCAGAGGCUGAUCCAUCAUCAUUUAUUAUCUGUAUCGUCAAAUGUUAAGACACUCCUGCCACAGCAAAGCCCUACAUCUCAGACAUAGAGGAAUAAACAGAUGAAAAAUCACAACAGGGUUUUAUGACUCCGAUCACACACCAUACAUUAUCAGCACAAGUACAUUAGGACCCCGGGGGGGAAUUAAUCUUCUGAGAGACAGAGCUGGUUCUUGGUGAUACCUUUCCCAUGGGAGGAAAGAACAGAAGGUAUUUACUCCACGCCCCUUUUUCUAAUUGCUGCGUUUGCUUUUAUUGAAGGAAAGACGGGCAGAGGCGAUGUCUUCCCCAGGUUACAAGCUGAUGAGGAGGAGCCAGUUUUUCAUGCCCUGGUUCCUUGAUGUGCUGUAUUUGGGGUGAGGCAUAGAGGGUCGGGGAAAGGCAGCUCCCGGCAGCCAGGAGCUGGCCUGGCACUCAGCUGGUCUUGGGGCGUCUCUCCUGUUGAACAAACAAUUCCAAAGGACACCAGCAUCACACAGAGCCACUCCAUGACCAGGAUGGGUCAAGACAAUAGAAGGGCAGAGUCGUGACACUCACUUGAGAAUCCGUGGCCCUAAGCAUUCCUGGGAGCGGAUGCGGGAAAAUGGAAAUGGAGAAAUUGAACCUUAAAACACCUCCAGCCCAUCACUUCUCCCUGCCUGCCUGCCUCCCUCCCUCUCUCCUCCCAACACCUCCCUCCCUCCCUGAGCCCUCCCAGCCCCUGCACAUAGUGCCUCUGCCCCUGGGUUCCAAGGUCAGGCAUUCCUCCUCUUCUUCUGACGCUGACAUCUGUCCUGUGGCUGCCGCUGCACAGUCUCUAUCCUCGGGGGUCCCUGGGGAUGGCCGAGGGGUAGGUAAGACAGGGGUGGGGUGCACGAAGCUGCGUUCACACAGCAAGCACAGGUUUUAAUCAGAUCAGUGAAAACAACAAAGUUUUCUAUUGAUGUCUUCCUUCACCAGUUGCUUUUUUUCCCUUAAAUAUACUAAUGUCACUGUAUUGGGGUGGCUUGGGGAGAGGUCUAACGCCCCGCCUCCUGCCCUGCCCCCACCGGCUGGGCCGCUGGAGGUACUGGUUCACUUUUCUCUCUCUCCCUGCUGGACAGAGGAAGAGGGGUCUGCGUGUCUUCUGUCUCCAUCCCCAGCUCUCAGGCAGCGUGUCCCCUGCAUGAAUGAAGGACACUCACACAGUGGAAAAUCACUAGGGCUUGGGCAAAAGAGAGGUUUGCAGAUUUUACAUGCACAUGAACGUACAAACACACGAAUGGCUGCCUCCCCUGUCCCCGAACCCCAGACACACUGGAAGGGGUCUGCGAGGCCGCUGUGGGCUCUCCCCUCAGCAGGACCUGCUCACUCCUGCCUCAUCAAAUAUUUAUCUUGUGGCUCUUCUGCCUCACGAUGCUGC